Carya illinoinensis is the source of this 10472-nucleotide long non-coding RNA. RefSeq lists it as uncharacterized. The transcript has 5 exons. NCBI's taxonomy places the organism in Eukaryota, Viridiplantae, Streptophyta, Magnoliopsida, Fagales, Juglandaceae. The record is from RefSeq and is a predicted model, not a curated record.
AACCUCCCAACCGGUCGGGUAGAAAUUUCAUUUUAACACCAAUCAAUAAAACUUCGCCACGUAGAAAGUGCAGCAAACCAAGAUUUACAGCCACAUGCAGAAGAGUACUUCAAUUUAUUCUUCCCCUCUUCUCUCUCCCUUCCCCCCACUCCUGGUCGCCUGCAAGUCCUCCUCUCUCUCUCUCUCUCACUCACUCUCUUACUUCCUUGAAGCUCCGUCUUCAUAACACAUCUUCGUAAAGCUUUCCACUGAUUUUCAAAGCCCCAAAUUCUUUCGAUAAACUCGAUGUUCUUCGUUUUUCUUCAUCUAUUUUUUUGAUCUGUACUAUGAUUUAUUUGAUGAAAUAUUUGGUGGGUAAGAUGUAUUUAUCUGGGUUUUGUUUGAUUUUUUUCUUUUAUCCUGGAACUGAUCUAACUCUCUUGCAAGAAGUUGGAGGAAUUUGAAGAAGAGGAUGAUGAGAGGAAGAAGUCGAUGAAGAAGCUACACUUAGAGCGACAAUCUCACGGGGUUCCAUUAAUGGAGCUUCAUCAAUUAGGAAGUUAUUUACGAGCAUUGAGUCAAAUGGGCUUGUCAUGCUUUUCUCUUUCUCUUUGGUUUCAAUAAUGGAGAAUGAUUGCAAUGAGGUCUCCGGUUCUUUAUUUUGAUCAAGUUCAGCCGUACGAUAAUCAGUCUGAAAAUUUUGAUUUGUUUUUGCUCUUGUUCUGGUAGGUGCUGUAGUUGUUGUUGGGGUUUUUCAGUGGCAGUAAAGAUUGGCUUGUGGGUGAUAGGAUCGAUGUCCAUCUUUUUCAACUUUUUCUUGAUGUGGGUAUUUGAGUGAUUUUUUUAUCCGUGAGGCAGGAGAGAGAGCUUUAUCUGAGAGAGGAGAAGCGUAGGAGAGAAGGACAAAUGUUAAUAGGAAAAAAAAAAAAAAAUCAAGUACAUGCACAUGUAUAAUCACUUUGCUAAAACUGAUACGUGGUAAUAUUUCAUUUGCUGGUGUAAAAACGGGUGUCACACCCGUCCGGCUCCUAGCGUCUCUCUUUAUACAUCUACGAGACGUUAGUUUCUUUCCAUUCAUUGUUCAAUUUGAAUAAAGAGAGACUUCCGGUGAAAUCCCUCGUUAAUUCUCACCUGUGUCGGUUUGGUUUUUAUUCUCGAUUUUGCUCAAUCGGUGUACCUCUAUUGCAAAAAACUGCCUCUCAAUUAAUUAUUUUCAAUGUUAGCGGUGAGUUCUAAUCUAAGCCGAGGUCAGGACAAUCUAACGUGCUCGAGCACAAAAUCAUUUGUCUGCUGGAAUUAAAGAUUGAUGGUAUGUACGUAUUUUUAUCUUCUUCGUUUUGUCUGCUCGGGAUUAAAGAUUUAGGAUAUGCCUGCCCUUACUCUUCUCCGUUUUGGAUUGAUGAAUGCUUUUCUAAUACUUUUCUGGUUUGGCUCAUCCUCUUGGCUAGGAAUAUUCAGCCCACCCGCACCCUUCAAUGAGAAAGUAUUCUGUAUGGACUAUUUUGAAUGUUUCUUUGUGAUCCUACCAGAUCCCAUCAUCUUCACUUCCUUUGGCCGAAUGUCCAUGGCUCUUCCUCUCUUGCUUUCCUCUUCUUUUUCCCAUCAUGUAGCAGCUGAAAUGGAUGAUAGCAGUUGAAGCAAGGAUGGCAGUGGAAAUUCAAGUAGUAAGCAAGAGCAGCAGCCUGCACAAUACACACAAGCAGCAACCAUGUUUAGCUUUUCCUUGAAUAUCUGCUGCUGUCCAGAAUUUAUGUUUUGGGAUUAUAGUUGAAGGAGGGGGGUUUCGAAACAGGUAUACAACUAACUUAUUGGCUGUACAAGCUAGUGCAGAAAAUUCAGCAACUUAUUCCUCUUAAGUUCUAGCCCCUUAGUUUGCCUUUAUCUCAUCUCUUUAACUCAACCUCAAUAUGUGACAUUAAGAGUACCAAAUGACCUUAAAAUCUCAUACCAAAACCAGCUCUAAGUAGCUGGAACUGAGGGGAACAGCAACACAUAGCUCCUCUCUUUUCUUUCUAUUGUUCAUCUCUCAUUCUCUCUACCAAUCCCUUGUUUUAGGCCACAUAAAUAAGUAUAAAAACCUUCAUAUAAUCCACGAAAACAAUGGUGAAGUGUAUAGAAAAAGGAGGAAGCUUGAAGGUUAGAGAAACAACUCAAACUAGUUCAAGUUUGAGGUGAAAAAAAAAAACUGUCCUCUAUCUUACUAUGUUUCUGGUUUGAUUUAAUUGCUGCAAAUCAGUCCCAUUCCUCUCCUCGUUUCAGUUUCAUGUUAGCUUGAUUAAUUCUCCAUGAAUUUGUGUUAAACCCUUGAAAUAACUUCUCAUAGAGACAUCAAACAGCAGCUAAGAGUGAUGCAAAAAGCAACAGUCGCAGCUGCAUGACAAAAGGACAAUCUCAACAGAUGUACUGAUCUGUUCCAGCCCUUUUACCUUUCCAAAUUCUCCUCUCAAGCCAUAAUUGGCCACAUCAUUCAAGACCCCUUGUAUAAGAAUCAAUCUUUAGAAGUGUGAAAUAGCAGCUGCAUCAUAGCACAUCUGAAACAACCCAAUAAUUCUACAGCCAUUAAGGCAACAAUUUGCAGUCGCUAUUCUCUUGAGUUUUUCUUCAACUUAUACUUUUUCUUUCUUUUUAGCAUCAACUAUAAGUGUAUUAAAUUCCUGUACCUCAACUACACUAUAAACAAGCGCAUAGUAGUGGUAGGAACUGAAAAUAGCAACCGAAACAACAGCAAAACAGAAAAAGCAGCAUUGCUGCGAUUUUUCAGCUUUAUCCAAUUUCCAGUUGUACUCUUCUAUUCUUUUGGUUGUUUUACGCCUAGUACUUAAAGUACUUAUUUUCCUUACCUUACCUUCCCUUCAUUUCCUUUCGUCUAUUUGCACUAUAGCAUUUCUAAGUGAUGACAAGAACCAAAACUUAGUGGCCAUGACAACAAAUAACAUCCAAGCAGUGCAGCAACAACCGCAAGAGUGGUAGAAAAAUAGUAGCAGCAGCUGUUUAUCCAGCCCUUCACCACUCAAUUUCCCUUCCAUCAAACAAUAGUUAGAUGCUCCACCCAAGUUACUUUGUAAAGGCACCUUUCAGAUACCAUAUAGCUUUAAGUAGGCCCAAUUUGUAGGGGCAGCAACAUCUUCCAACCUUGGUUUCUUGAAGUUCCUUUCAAUUUCUACUUCAUGAUCUGUCCCAGCACUCCACCUUUCAUAUUUCACUUCCGUAAUAAUUGACCACACCCCUAAAGGUUCCUUAUAGCUGCAUUAACCAUCCUCAACAAAAGUGUCAAACUGCAACUGCCAUGUAGCAAAUGAGAAACAAGCUAGAAGUUAUGCUGUAAAUUCACAGCAGCAGCUUUCAGCCCCUAGUCGCUCAAUGUUUGUUUUAAUUGCUAUCCUUUCUUCAUCAUUUUUUUUCCUCUAUUAUUAGUGUUUUAAUUUUUAAAAUCAGGUAUCAUCUUCUCCUCUUCACCCUAACUAGCCAUAGCAGUCUUGAAUCUCAACUAGGAGCAGAAUCAAUAACCAUAGCAGCAGGUGGUCCAACUUAUUGGUUAACCUGCUAAGCUCCCUUUCUGUUUUCCUUAAACUGUUCAAACAGCACGCAUACAACUCCCUUUCCUCUGUUUUGACUCCUCCAGAGCCAAGCCAAAAUGUUUCCACCAAGAAUAAGGUAUGGGCAACAAUGGCAAAAAGGAAACAAGAACAUGGAAAUUAUCAGCAAUUACGUAACGUCAAUCAUGUCAACAGCAAGUUUCAAACCUUGGGCCCAUUUAGUCACUUCGCACAAAUGAUUCAUCACUUCAUUACCAUCAAACAGCAACCAGUAGCCUCGUUUCAAGCCACUGCACAAUGAAGACUCACCAUGAACCGCAGUUGCCAAAUACUUUGGACCAUCUAACACUCGGAUUCUAGUCUGUGUCUUGGUAUAACUUCUAUUCCUUUCUCUUCAUUUUACACAUAUUGUUAGAAUAAUAGUCUUUAUUCUGUUCUAAUAAGCAGAAUUCAAAAUAAAGAUAUUAAGCAAGAUUUAACAAGAAUAUAUUCACGAACAAGAACCAAACAGAUUCAAACUAAUCAACAGAUUAGAUCUAACAGCAGAAUCAGAUUAUAUAUAGAUUCAGACUAGCAACAGGUUCAGUCUAACAAGAUAUUCAACCUAACAGAUAGAUUCAGAUUAUCUAUAGAUUAUAACAGAACAAUAUUAAUAAGAAAUUAAACGUAGCAACAUCAAUAAUCAAAAGAUUAACAGAAAUAAGCAAGAAAUAGGCAAGAAAAGAACAACACAACCGAUUUACGUGGUUCGACCCUAAUGGUUUACAUCCACGGCAGGAAUGGCCUCAGAUCUUUAUUGAUAAUCAGUGUCCUUCACAGAGAAGCCUCAGAAACCACUCAAAGAUUUACAAAUCUCUCAUCUCACUGUAAAAUCACAAAGAUUUCCUUCACAACAGUGAAACCCUAGUUUCUCCCUCUCAGAUCUCUCUCGAAGACUCUCUCUCUCAAUCAGCUGAAGUAAACACAAAUGAAGAGAUUAGGUUUUUAGAAAACCCAUAGCGAUACAUAUAUAUAGGGUAACACAGAUGGCUCCACGUGUACAGAUCCUGCGGCUGAAGUUUAACUUCACUUGAUGCUGCUUACGAGUCACGUGUUGGUCACGUGAUCACCAACUCAGACUCUUAAACUUCACAGCUCCAGAAUCUUCUAAGUAUUUAAUCCAUUCAAUGUCAUAAAGAGAAGGGUUAGAUCACAUAUAACAAAGAGAAAUAAAUUAAUUGCCAUAAUACAUUACAAAUCUCCACCUUGGCAAAAGGUUUAUUUGCCAAAUUAUCAAUUAUAAUCAUUGGCUCAUUCCUGCACUUAUCCCCCUAAUGGGGACUGACUCUAGACUCCAUAUUAAUCAAGUUCAGACAUUGUCUGAACUUAGACCUUGGGAGUGACUUGGUCAUCAUAUCAGAGGGAUUAUCCUCAGUUGAGACCUUCUCCACACCUACAACCUUAGACUCUAUAACAUCCCUGACAAAAUGAAGCCUUAUAUCAAUAUGCUUAGACCUUUCAUGGUAAACUUGGUUUUUAGCUAAGUGAAGUGCACUCUGAUUGUCACAGUGCACAGAAAUAUUACCAUUAAAAAUACUUAACUCAUUUGCAAUGCCCUUUAACCAAAUGACCUCUUUUAUUGCUUCAGUCAAUGCUAUAUACUCAGCCUCUGUUGUGGACAAGGCCACAACAGAUUGUAAGUGUGACUUCCAGUUAACAGCCCCUCCAAAAGCAGUAAACACAUACCCAGUUAAGGAUUUUCUAGUGUCUACAUUUCCUGCAAAAUCAGAGUCUACAUAACCAACUAACUCACAUCCUUUCUCAACACCAUUUCCAUAACUGAGUCCUAGAUUAGUAGUGCCAACUAGGUACCUUAGUACCCAUUUGAUAGCCUGCCAAUGGGGUUUCCCUGGAUUCCCUAUAAACCUACUGACUAUACUCACAGCAUAGGUUAGAUCAGGUCUAGAACAGACCAUUGCAUACAUUAUGCUCCCCACCAUGCUAGCAUAGGGGAUUUGUUUCAUAAAAUCAAUAUCAGAAUCUGUUUUAGCAGCCUGAUCUACAGAAAGUUUGAAAUGUUGAGCUAAAGGUGUGUUAACAAAUUUCAAAGUGUUCAUACCAAAUCUCUUUAGUACUUUAGAAAUGUAGGUUUUCUGGGACAGGUAUAAACCCCUUGCAUUUCUGUCCCUUACUAUUUCCAUUCCUAAUAUCUUCUUAGCAGGGCCCAGUUCUUUCAUUUCAAACUCAGAUUUCAACAUGCAUUUAACUUCAUCAAUUAGAUCAGUGUCUUUACAAGCUAUCAGCAUAUUAUCUACAUAAAGUAAAAGAUAUAUCAUUAUUCUUUUUUCUUCCUUGUAAUAUACACAGCUGUCAUAGCAACUCCUAUUAAAAUUAUUACUAAUCAUGUGUGUGUCAAAUCUCUUAUACUAUUGCCUAGGAGAUUGUUUAAAACCAUUUAAUGAUUUUUUAAGAAAGCACACAAGAUUUUUAUUUAUUUUAUCAGUAAAGCCUUCAGGAGGUUGCAUAUAAAGUUCUUCUUCAAUUUCACCAUGUAGAAAAGCUGUUUUAACAUCUAAUUGUUCUAAAUGCAAGUUUUCAAAAGCUGUAUAGGCUAGCAGUAGCCUGAUUGAGCUAUGUUUCACCACAGGUGAGAAAAUUUCAUUAAAGUUGAUUCCCUCUCUCUGUGUAAAACCUUUUGCUACCUAGCCUUGUACCUGGUCCCUUCUAUCCCUGGUAUACCAUCUUUUUUCUUAAAGAUCCACUUGGACCCAAUGAGUUUGACUCCUUUAGGUUUAGUCACCAGAACCCAAGUUUGAUUCUUAUUUAGUGACUCCAUCUCCUCAUGCAUGGCUAAGAGCCAUUUAGAUGAGUCUUUACUAGAUACAGCCUCUUUAUAAGACCUAGGUUCUUGGUAAACAACAUCAUCAGCCACUGUCAAGGCAAAAGCUGUAAGGUCAGCCUGUCCAAACCUUUGAGGAGGUUUAAUUACCCUCCUCUGUCUGUCUCUAGCUAGAUUCCAAGAUCUGGCUCCACCUUGACCUGUGUCUUCUGAGGUUUGAUCCUCAGAGUCACUGUCAUCACCAUUUACAGGUUCAGGUUGGGUGUCAUCCUGCUCCACUUCAACCUGAGAUCCUUCUAAAAGUUUGUCAGUAUUAUUGUUUGACUGUGCUUCUUGUACCCGAGCCAUGUGUGACUCAUUAAAAGUCACAUCUCGGCUAACAAUGCACUUAUGUCUACCAGGUCCAUCUACCCAAAGUUUGUAUCCCUUUACCCCUUCAGGAUACCCUAUAAAUAUGCACUUAAGUGCCCUAGGUUCCAACUUAUCAGUUUUUGAAUGUGCAUAAGCUACACAUCCAAAAACUCUUACGUAGUCAUAUCUGGGGGCUUUUCCAGACCAUAACUCCUGUGGGGUUUUAAACCCUAUAGCAGAGGAUGGACAUCUAUUUAUAAGGUGAACUGCAGUGGUGAUAGCUUCUGCCCAAAAGGCUUUGGGCAGUCCUGAAUUAGACAGCAGACACCUAACUCUUUCUAAAAUAGUCCUGUUCAUUCUCUCAGCUAAACCAUUCUGUUAAGGGGUUUCCCUCACAGUCUUAUGCCUAAGAAUUCCUUCUUUUUGACAAAACAGAUUAAAUUCAUUUGACAGGAAUUCUAAACCAUUAUCUGUUCUUAGGGUUUUCAGUUUUCUACCUACUUGAUUUUCCACUAGAGAUUUCCACUCCUUGAACUUUUCAAAGGUGUCACUCUUGUUCCUCAGAAUAUAAAUCCAGACCUUUCUAGAGUAGUCAUCCACUAAGGAGAGGAAAUAACUCCCUCCACUAUGUGAAUUUACUCUUGCAGGUCCCCAUAGAUCUGAGUGGACAUAGUCCAAGGUUUGCUUAGUAUUAUGGGUUGCUGACUUGAAACUGACCAUCUUUGCCUUUCCAAAGAUACAAUCCUCAUAGAAAGGUAAAUUUCCUAGGUUCUGUUCACUCAGUAAUCCUUGUUUUUGUAACUCUACAAGCUCAUUUUGGCUUACAUGACCAAGCCUCCUAUGCCAUAAGACAGACUUAUUCUCUAAAGUGUUCUGUAUAGAAGAAGCUUCCCCAACUACAGUUUUUCCAAGCAAUGUAUAUAACCCAUUUUUAAUAACCCCUUUCAUAAUUUCUCUUGGUAUGCUUGAUUUAUUAGGCUAUACCUUCAAGUCUGAAGCAGGGGUUCUUAGGGUUACUAUAACCCCUUUCAUAAUUAGUAAGGAACCUUUAGUAACCCUAAGAACCCCUGCUUCAGACUUGAAGGUAUAGCCUGAUAAAUCAAGCAUACCAAGAGAAAUUAAAUUUCUCUUCAACUCAGGUAUAAAUCUGACUUCCUUCAAGGUUCUUUUAGUACCAUCAUGUAAUUUUAGUCUAACUGGCCCUAUACCCAUGAUUUUACAGGACUUAUUAUUUCCUAGGAUUACAUGUCCCCCCUUUAAUUCAGAAAAGGUUUCAAACCACUCUUUCACUGGAGACAUGUGAAAAGAGCAACCAUAGUCCAUUAUCCACUCUGUUUUAGAAUCAACUUCACUCACUGUGAGUACCUCAGCACUCAUAACCAUCUAGCACCACAGAGGCAUCCCCUGCCUUUUUGGUCUUAUUCGCUAUAUUGUUUUUCCUAUCAGGGCAAUUCCUUUUGAAAUGCCCUUCCUUAUGACAAUGAAAACAUUUAAAAUGUUUUCCCUUAGAUUUAGACCUAGAUUUCUUGAUAUCACUCUUGCCUUUCUUUUCUCUUUUUUCUGUUCUGCCCCUAACAGAUAACCCUUCCCCAUGUUCCUGUUUGGUAUCACCUUUGUUUUGUAAUUCCCUAGUAUGAAGUACAGAUUGUACUUCAUCUAAAGUCAAGGAAUCCCUACCAUACAUCAUGGUUUCUUUAAGGUUCUGAUAUGAUGAGUCCAAAGAACUCAUCAAGAGGAUUGCUUGAUCCUCAUCCUCCACCUUAAUAUCUAUAUUAGCUAGAUCUAGAAUGAUUUUAUUAAAUUCAUCAAGAUGAUGUCCUAUUUGAGUCCCAUCAAUAGGCUAAACAGAUAGUUAUUUGCGAUUUGAGAGAUAGGCUAAAUAAUUGGUUAGAAAUAGGCACACGAGCUUUUACUAUCAUUUUGGAAAGCAUUCAGUAUUCAUUAAGUUGUUAUAUUCACCUGUACUCGCAAGGACAGAGAGGGAAGGCUUAAUGUCGACAGUGGGUGCCCUACAUUUGGAUGCUAGAGGCGGAUUUGCACAUCCAACGUCAGACCACCCCUGUUCAAUACCACAUGUUUUACAACAAAACUUUCACUAAAAAUCCAAACGAAAACUAACAAAUUUACAUAUCAAAACAAACGAAUUUACAUAUAAGAAAAAUAUCAUAAAUCGAACAAAAAACCAAAACAAACUCAUAAAAUUAGAUAUAAAACAAAUCAAAUAAACGAAACCAAGUAGUAAUCGUCCACAUACCAACACGCUCUGGUUUUGUGUCACAAAUCUUUAUAGCCCAUGGUCGUCAUAAUUGAUUGUUAAACUUAUAGACUCGUCACUUAUAGUUACAGUAGGUCCCUAACCCCCGUUGAAGAUUGGGGUAUUGAGUUGUAGAGACUCGUGGCCAUACUAUGGUGUUUUUGUCGUAGAAUGCGGCUUGGCCAUGACUACCCAUGAUAAUGAAGAGAACUGCGAAGUUGGUUUUAAAGAGGAGGAGAAGAAGAGAAAUAUGGAGUGGAAGAAAAAAGAGAGAGAAGUCAGGAUGGUGGCCAUUGAGACGUGAAAGUCUGGAAGGAAUGAGGAAAAGAAAAGGGGGAUGGGAGGAAGAGAAAUGGGGAGGACAAGGGCCGUUUGGAAGGAAAGAAAUGAUAGUAGAGUGAUUGAGAGAGGGAAAAAUUGGUAUUUAAUGUUAGGUUUUGUGUUUUUAAUAUAUAUGAUAUUUUGAUUUAUAUAUAUAUUUUUGUAUAUAUUUAUAUAUUAAAGGCCGUUGGGACCAAGGCCCAACCCGGCACUCGCUCCCUGGACUUUGAAACUGGUAAAUUAAAGCUCGUGCACUUGGGAAAUGCAAGCGGGAAGCAGCCCUAGUCUCCAACGCAUACUAGGCCAAGGUUGUUAAGGGAUGAAGUUAUGUCGAGAUUAUAAAAUUACAGGGCAUUUAUGGAAGGAAAGAAAGAAUGUGACCUAUAAAGAAAUAAAAGAAUUGAUUAUGGUCAAGUUGGAAUCUCAUCUAUGAGGCAGCACGUUGGAAUCUCAAGUUGGAAUCUUAUCUAUGAGGCAGCACGUGGAGGCCCUUGGACGGUUGGAGCAGGAGCACAUCACACAUGCAAUAAACCACACCAACUCACACAUGCAAAAAACGUGACAGCAACUCACACAUGUAGCAACAAACACAGCAGACAGUAGCCUCACUCGGACAGCACUCAUUCGAACUCACACAUGCAAUAAACCUACAUCAAGGAAAUGCACACAUGCAGAAAACGUGGGACCAGCUCACACAUGCAGACCAGCAGAAUACUCACACAUGCAGACCAGCAGAACAAACACAGCAGACAGCACACUUGGAAAGCAGCACGUUGCAGACACUCGGACAGCAGCAAAAUUAUUUCUCUCUUUCUUUCCGGAAGUUGAACGUGCAGCAGCAGAGAGUUUAUUACAUUCUUUCUUUCAUCUAAGUUGGAGCAGCAGGAGAUCACAUAGGAUCAUGGAAGACAAGCUGUUCAUUUCAGCUUUCUUGCUUCUGCACAUGGAAGGUCACCACGGCAUCACAUGUACAGCUCACAAACACACGGCUAUAAAAUGAAAGAAGGCUGAAAUGGUAAGGGACAGUGGAGCAGCUUAGCUUGUAUUUUUAUUUUUCUUACUUUUGUUUUAGACGCUGGGCAGCCAGUUUAUCUUUCUUGCUGUUUCUUUUGUUUUUUCAUUCAGCUACAACAGUAGCUUAGCUUGGAGUUUAUUACUUUAUUUCAUUUUCAAAAGUGCAGUAGCUUAGCUUGGAGUUUAUUUCUUCCUUUCA